RNAcentral lists this long non-coding RNA (441 nucleotides) under Equus caballus (horse). Its description in RNAcentral is "lncRNA (ENSECAG00000042177.2)". The record is from RNAcentral. Lineage: Eukaryota; Metazoa; Chordata; Mammalia; Perissodactyla; Equidae.
UGUCUUCAGGGCGGAUUGGAUUGUGUGGAGCCAUAAUCUUGUUCUCAGAACCCCCUGACUGCCAGGAAAAGCUUGCGCAUCCCUGAUCUAGAUGGUUGUAUCAUGUGGGAGAGCAAGGCUUUUCCUCAUCUGCCUGUACACAUUCUAGGAACACAUUUUGGUCCAGGAUAGGAACACAUGAAGUUCCAACUCUUCUAGGAAGAUUUUUCUUUCCCACCAAAAAAGACCACAAAGCCUUAUCUUACUUUCUAACCUGAUGAAUGCCUUUUGUCUUUUCUCUUCAUUUUGGCAACUAUGUCUUAUUUAUUGUCUGUCUUGUUUCAAGAGGUUUUAAGGCGACGUUUCUGUGAAAUCUUUGUCACAGCAAUGAGUUUGUAGGCCAUUUAAAGAGCAGAAAACCUGUUGUUUUUUUGAUAUAGAAGACCAAGAUUUGGGUCUUAG